AAUUCUAGAGCUAAUACUUGCGUCCAAACCCGACUUUUUGGAAGGGUUGUGCUUAUUAGACACUGAACCAACCCGGGUUUCCCGGUUUCUAGUUGAUUGAUGGUAAUCGAACGAAUCGCAUGCUUCGGCGGCGAUGAUUCAUUCAAGUUUCUGACCUAUCAGCUUUCGACGGUAGGGUAUUGGCCUACCGAGGCAUUGACGGGUAACGGAGAAUUAGGGCUUGAUUCCGGAGAGGGAGCCUGAGAAACGGCUACCACAUCUAAGGAAGGCAGCAGGCGCGCAAAUUACCCAAU
This 293-nucleotide ribosomal RNA is filed under the name uncultured Syndiniales. RNAcentral describes it as "partial 18S ribosomal RNA". It matches the Rfam family "Eukaryotic small subunit ribosomal RNA", at positions 154 to 449 of the family's 1831-position model. Lineage: Eukaryota; Dinophyceae; Syndiniales. The record is from RNAcentral.